This is a long non-coding RNA of Gymnodraco acuticeps, 389 nucleotides long. RefSeq lists it as uncharacterized. Lineage: Eukaryota; Metazoa; Chordata; Actinopteri; Perciformes; Bathydraconidae. The transcript has 3 exons. The record is from RefSeq and is a predicted model, not a curated record.
UUCAGUGUUCACUGUCACGUCACUGAGGCUAAAGAGACAACGCUUUAUAUAUACAGUCUAUGCUAACAACCGACAACAGUUUGUUCCAAAAGAUGGCAGAAAUAGCCGGAUCGACAUCCAGAGAGGAAAUCCUGAAGGAAAGUGGGCCUCCCGCCAUACUUGGACAAGUGUGGAUCAUUGAGACAGCGUGGUGUCCAGAGGUCUUAUCCCGUUUUCCCACUUCCUCUGAGGGGACAGCACGGAGGGGGGGCAUGAAGAAAGACCUGCACCAGCUUCAUCCACGCUGGGCAUUGCUGUUAUCAGUGUCAUUUCAUUUGACCAAAUUGUAUUUAUUAUUUGAUUAUUCAAAUCAAGUUUUAUUUAUAUAGCACAUUUAUAAACGAUUUUUG